UGAGGCCGCUGAAGGGCACCGGAUGC
RNAcentral lists this non-coding RNA (26 nucleotides) under Homo sapiens (human). Lineage: Eukaryota; Metazoa; Chordata; Mammalia; Primates; Hominidae. The record is from RNAcentral.